Molecule: unclassified non-coding RNA, 202 nt
Filed under: Hevea brasiliensis (rubber tree)
Lineage: Eukaryota; Viridiplantae; Streptophyta; Magnoliopsida; Malpighiales; Euphorbiaceae
Source: RNAcentral
UCCAAAACUAGCCUUACCACCACCUGCAAGAUCAAGAACACCAAGAAACAAGAGACAGCUAUCGCAAAACUCCAUGGGUACUGAAUUCAAGAGCUCUGCCUCUGCUGUUCCACUGCUUGAAUCUUCUUCUUUAUCAUCUACAGGAACCGCUUCUGCAAUCCAAACGCUUGGGAAUAUUAUUGUUUCCAUUGUUGGUACGGGA